Molecule: small RNA, 117 nt
Filed under: Marmota monax (woodchuck)
Lineage: Eukaryota; Metazoa; Chordata; Mammalia; Rodentia; Sciuridae
Source: RNAcentral
GCCAGGUAUGGUGGCGUGUGCCUGUAAUCCCAGCAGCUUGGGAAGCUGAGGCAGGAGGAUAUCAAGUUCAAAGCCAUUUGGUGAGGCCCUAAGCAACUCAGUGAGACCCAGUCUCUU